CGGACGGGUGAGUAACACGUGGAUAACCUACCUAUAAGACUGGGAUAGCUUCGGGAAACCGGAGCUAAUACCGGAUAAUAUAUUGAACCGCAUGGUUCAAUAGUGAAAGACGGUUUUGCUGUCACUUAUAGAUGGAUCCUCGCCGCAUUAGCUAGUUGGUAAGGUAACGGCUUACCAAGGCAACGAUGCGUAGCCGACCUGAGAGGGUGAUCGGCCACACUGGAACUGAGACACGGUCCAG
RNAcentral lists this ribosomal RNA (241 nucleotides) under uncultured Staphylococcus sp. Its description in RNAcentral is "partial 16S ribosomal RNA". It matches the Rfam family "Bacterial small subunit ribosomal RNA", at positions 99 to 334 of the family's 1533-position model. The record is from RNAcentral. Lineage: Bacteria; Bacillati; Bacillota; Bacilli; Caryophanales; Staphylococcaceae.